Molecule: ribosomal RNA, 367 nt
Filed under: uncultured organism
Description: bacterial LSU rRNA
Rfam family: Bacterial large subunit ribosomal RNA
Source: RNAcentral
CUUUACUGUAACUUGAAAUUGAAAUUGGACUUUAUUUGCGCAGUAUAGGUGGGAGGCGUUGAGAAUAUUCUUGCGGGAAUAUUGGAGCCAUCAGUGAGAUACCACUCUUGUAAUGUUAGAUUUCUAACUUUGCAUCCUGAUCGGGUCAAAGAACAGUUUCAGGCGGGCAGUUUGACUGGGGCGGUCGCCUCCCAAACGGUAACGGAGGCGUACAAAGGUUUCCUCUGAACGGGUAGAAAUCGUAUCUAGAGUGUAAAGGCAUAAGGAAGCUUGACUGUGAGACCUACAAGUCGAGCAGGGACGAAAGUCGGUCUUAGUGAUCUGACGGUGCUGAGUGGAAAGGCCGUCACUCAACGGAUAAAAGUUA